GAUGUCCUAAGUGGUUAGAGCGUCUGCCUCUGAUGCGAGAGGUUGUGGGUUCGAAUCCCGGCCGAUAUACA
Potamilus streckersoni is the source of this 71-nucleotide non-coding RNA. The record is from the annotation of a GenBank genome assembly. Lineage: Eukaryota; Metazoa; Mollusca; Bivalvia; Unionida; Unionidae.